RNAcentral lists this ribosomal RNA (443 nucleotides) under uncultured bacterium. RNAcentral describes it as "partial 16S ribosomal RNA". It matches the Rfam family "Bacterial small subunit ribosomal RNA", at positions 338 to 795 of the family's 1533-position model. The record is from RNAcentral.
CCUACGUGUGGCAGCAGUGGGGAAUAUUGGGCAAUGGGCGCAAGCCUGACCCAGCAACGCCGCGUGAAGGAAGAAGGCUUUCGGGUUGUAAACUUCUUUUCUGAGGGACGAAGAAAGUGACGGUACCUCAGUAAUCAGCCACGGCUAACUACUUUCCAGCAGCCGCGGUAAUACGUAGGUGGCACGCGUUAUUCGGAUUUAUUGGGUGGAAAGGGCGUGUAGGCGGGAAAGCAAGUCAGAUGUGAAAACUCAGGGCUUAACCCUGAGCCUGCAUUUGACACUGUUUUUCUUGAGUGCUGGAGAGGCAAUCGGAAGUCCGUGGGUAGCGGUGAAAUGCGUAGAUAUACGGAGGAACACCAGUGGCGAAGGCGGAUUGCUGGACAGUAACUGACGCUGAGGCGCGAAAGCGUGGGGAGCAAACAGGAUUAGAUACCCGGGUAGUC